This 271-nucleotide ribosomal RNA is filed under the name uncultured archaeon. RNAcentral describes it as "partial 16S ribosomal RNA". It matches the Rfam family "Archaeal small subunit ribosomal RNA", at positions 728 to 998 of the family's 1478-position model. The record is from RNAcentral.
AUUAGAUACCCGUGUAGUCCUAGCCGUAAACGAUACUCGCUAGGUGUCGGCCACGGUGCGACCGUUGUCGGUGCCGUAGGGAAGCCGUGAAGCGAGCCACCUGGGAAGUACGGCCGCAAGGCUGAAACUUAAAGGAAUUGGCGGGGGAGCACCACAACGGGUGGAGCUUGCGGUUUAAUUGGAUUCAACGCCGGAAAUCUUACCGGGACCGACAGCAAUAUGAAGGCCAGGCUGAAGACUUUGCCGGAUUAGCUGAGAGGAGGUGCAUGGC